Non-coding RNA from Melanopsichium pennsylvanicum, 109 nucleotides. Lineage: Eukaryota; Fungi; Basidiomycota; Ustilaginomycetes; Ustilaginales. The record is from the annotation of a GenBank genome assembly.
GAUGUCGUGGCCGAGUGGUUAUGGCGUUAGUCUUGAAUUAUAAGUCAAGGCCUUACAGGUCGCUAACUAAUUCGCAUUGCGAGCGCAGGUUCAAACCCUGCCGACAUCG